GUGUUUCUGAUAUAUUUCUUGUGCUAGUAAAGAAAUAAUAAACAAGUGGUAUAAUAAAUUUUUUUUACUUAUUUUUUAAUUUCAUAUAAUUAUAUAUAUAGUGCAAAGUAAAGCAUUUAAGAGAAUAUCCACGGGAAUUGUGUGAAAAAUGAACUGAAAUACAUAAAGUCAUCCAAGAAACAAAGGAUAAAGGAAACCUAUAAAAACUACUAGAACAAGCUCAAGUGCAGGAGUUGUAGACACAUGAUAAGCCCUUAGCACACGCUACAAAAAAAAUGCUACAAUCAAAAAACAUGCUUGAUGAAUCCCCUGCCCCUGCUGAUGGGUGUUGCAAUUCCAGAAUGCCGGAGAAUGAGCCACUUCUAACGCCUCCGUCUACGCCAUCAAUCGACGCUGGCAAUCACAUUUCAAUUACAACGAACACACAAAUUUCAAAUACAAUGAAUUCGCCUUGUUCAAGUGACGAAGAGACACUUAGCCCACAUCAUGCAAUGGAUAUUAUAAAAGGACACUUUCUAAAAGAUUUCGAUGUAAGAGACAUUUGGUCAUAUACACAUAACAUAUUCACCGAAUCUGAGAGGCAAUACAUUACUGCGACCCUACAAUGCGAUGAUCCAUGUACACAACGUCCAUCGACUGAUACACAGGAAAUACUUGGUGAGGAACAGGUGUCACGUCUAUUUGCUGUUUUGCGCAAUAAAGAUUACUCCGAAAUAUGCAAAUUUAUGGAAGCUUUAAGUUAUGAUUACCUAUGGCUAGUGAACUUAUUUGAAAAUGUAAAUAAAAUUGAUUAUGGCAACUACGUGGAUUUAUUGCACUCGCUGCACUCAAAAGCUAGUCUAAAAUAUGAGGAUUACCAUGUGCAUCGCUCAAUGCCGUUUCGUAAAUUGCGCAAAGCCCUGCUAAACAUACCAUUUAACGGUCGUGUAGUUUUGGCCAGCGAUUUCGGUUGCGGCAAAAAGUGGUUAGCAAUUGAUGCUUGUACUGAUUAUGACGUUGCAAAAUCUAUGAACUUCCAAAUUUAUUGGAUUGAUAUGAGUGAAUGUACAAGUUCAUUGGAAGAUUUACGAAUGUUACGUUAUUUGAAAUUAUUACUCACAGAAUCCUUACGUUCACCUUCGCCAGCUAGUUAUGGUUCAUUGGAUCGUUCUGAGCCCAAUACGCAUGCGUAUAGAAAUUCAAUAGAUGAAAUUAAACUUUCUGUGAGUAAGGAAUUAAAAAAGACUGAAAACAAGAAGUGCCUUGUAGUCUUGGUAAAUGUUGGGAAUACAUAUGCGUUGAAGGCUUUUGAUUUACCAUGUAAACUACUUGUUAUUACACGCAAUAAAAAGGUUAGCGAUUCGUUUGACAAAAAACGUAGCACAACAUUACGCUUGACAAGCGGUCUCACGCGUGCAGAAAUGCAUAUGCUCUUUGAAAAAUAUUUGGAGCAUCGGAAUAUUGAAGAAAAAUAUGUAGAUUUAAUUUACACUCAUAGUAAUGGACAUCCAUACCUACUGAGCUUAAUUGGACAGAGCUUAAGUCAAAAUUUGGGUAAUUGGCAGGGUUGGAUCGAGAAGCUGAGAGAAACAAAACUGGUUGACGAGAAAUUCAACGCCGCUAUUGAAAAGAGUCUCGAUAGCUUAGAACCAGAACUGAGAAAGACAUUUUGUACGGUAUUUAGAUGCUUUCCGCAUGCCAUUUUUGUGCCACAGCAGUUGAUUGCAGCACUUUGGUUCGAUGAUAAAUGUGUCAAAGACUUGGCCAAUGAUGAUAUAUGCUAUAAGUUACCAUUCAUCUAUGAUAGAUCUAUCUAUGAUAAAUGCGUCAAAGAUUUGGCCAAAUUACAUCGUCAUGGAUUUCUGGAAAAAUGUAUAUCGCCCAAUGAUGAUAUAUGCUAUAAAUUACCAUUUAUCUAUGAUAAAAUGUUGGGCAGAUAUGAAGCGACACAAGUUGACGGCGUGUACGUGUAUAUGCAUAGAAAGUUGCUUGCUUAUUAUCACUUCGUUGAAGAUCUGGAAGCGCGCAAAGAAGUUUUGCCAUUUAAUCGUGAUAUUCAUGAUGUAUAUUUUUUCCUUUGCGUUGGUUAUCAUUUGAAAAAGGCCAAACUCGUCGAGUAUUUUCCACAAAUCUACUUAGAUUAUGGUUUUCUGGAACAGAAAAUACGUAACGUCGACAUGUUAAGCACAAUUGCUGACUUGGAAACAUUUCAAGAGUAUAUUGCGCCUGAUUUGGAGUCGUAUAAAGUUUUUCGUGCCAUACGUGACUUUUUACCCAAUAUCGAAAAGACAUUACAAGAAUCACAGCAUGCUACACUCCUUCAAUGUGCGCUUAUGGAGGAUGGUUUAGUAGGCAUAGAAGCGCGUAAACAAGCAGCUGUUUUUCCGGGUUUCACCUGGUUUGAACAUCAUGGAUGUAUACAUCAACGUUCUAAUAUUAUUUCAUUGCCCAGCAUACCAAAAAAGAUUUUACUACUGGAUCAAAAACGCUCUUUAGUUGCUUUAGAGCAAAGAGCAGAUAUAUUGCUGAUUAAUUUAUCGUUAGAUUGGAAUACGUAUUCAGUGAAAUUAAAAAAUACAGUGAAAGGAAAAUCAACCGUUAUUGAUAUACGUUUUUUCAAAGACAAUAAUGCGUCCAUUCUAUUGGCAUUGUAUGAUAAUGGGAAUAUGAAAGCCUGGUGUAUACCAGGUGACUGCACUGUGGACCGUCGCAGAUCUGAUUCAUUUUCACGUCCUCAGGAAAAAGAAAUUGAGCAUAGAAAUGUGAUUCCACCGUCUCACUUAUUACAACCUAUUACUGCAUUUGAAUUAUCUUUUGGUGCUAUUGGCCAUCCACCAAUUAUAUAUUUGGCUUAUAAAAGUGGUGAUAUCAAGCAUCUUAAGUGGAAUAGUGAAAGUAAGACUUUCGAGUCGGCACUAAUAGAAACUUUAAAUACGAAAAUGCAAGAUAUAUGCAUUUUACGUUUUGUAUUCAAUCGCAAUUAUAUUGUGUGCACCAAAGAUGGAGACAUUGCCGUUUUCGAUGUUAUAGACUAUUCGAAUUCACGUGGCAUUGAGAAAUUCAAACAUUUCGUUGAAUCCAUUGAGACAACGCGCAAUGAAGUACUCUUGAUUUGUCGUCGUUGCAUUGUUAGCUUUACCAGUAGAUCAAUAAUUGAUAACAAGCCUGUGGAAUAUAUAUUGCACGAGGAUAACUUAAUCGCGGAUGAUCGUGAUAAUGUAAUCAAUUGUGCAAAAUUACUACACAUCAACGGCCAUAAGCAGCUGGCAUUGGGCACUAAAAAGGGUCUAAUAGUCUUUGACAUAGAAACGCGUACCAAAUUACUCACAACAAAUGUGAAUGAAGACAUUACUUGUGUUGAUAUAUAUUUAUUGGAUGCUCUCAAGAACAAAUAUAUGGUGGCUUGUGGUUCACAUGCGUACAAGUUCUUGAAUUUAUUUGUUUUGCGUGCCGAUGAUAAUGGUAAACAAGUGAUCCGAUGGCUACGUGGUUCAAAAUCAUCUCGUAAGAGAGAUUCGUGGAGAGUGGACAUGGUGGAUUUACAGAUGCCGCCAUAUGUUGCGUUAAAGGGCGGACAUUUGUUUGCUUUGCAGUAUGUGCGCGAUGAAGCGGUGCUUUUGGCAGUUGAUUCGCAGAACCAGGUACAUAAAAUCGCUUAUGGCAAUAACGAAUUAUAUGAACCUAUAUCAUCCCCCAUCACUGCCAUUACACUCUACGGUACGCAAGCGUUUGUUGGUUGCGCAAAUGGUCAAUUGUUCGAUAUGUCGGGACACACACCACAACCUAUUUUAACAGCUUUUGAUCAAUCGAUCGAAUUUUUACGGUUGCUUAAUGAACAAACACUGAUUGUCGCCGAUGAGGCGGAAGUUUUAAUUUAUACAAAUAUAAAUUAUGGCCAAUUUAAGCGAUUCGCUUUGAAUUCUGAGAAAAUCGUGCGUUGCUUUAUUUUACCGCCUGAGCGUAUAGUGCUUGUUUUUGAAAACCGAACAUUUUGGGUCUUAGAUAGUUGUGGUAGUUUAAUCUUUAAAUAUGUGCCAGAGAUUCGGAGCGUAAUUGGUGAUUGUGAUUUACAAAAUAAACAGUUGUUUGUUGUAGCUCAAAGCUACAAAAUCGAGCUAAUACAUAAUUUUUUCUUCAUGCAUGAACGAUGAAAUCUUUAGUUUUGAGCUUACGCUGAGCAAUGAUCAGCUGUUGGAUACUUUGGUGGAUUUGUAAUCUCUAUGUAGAGCUAUUUACUUUGACUAAAUUUACUUUCCUGGCAUCUGCUGCUCUUUGAGAAAUAGUUUUCAAUUUAGCCGAUUCACUUGCACCCAAAAUACCGGAAUUAACACAUUUCGGUGCGUUUAAGGCAAAAGUCAGUUGCGUGGCUGUGUCACGCA
This 4358-nucleotide unclassified non-coding RNA is filed under the name Ceratitis capitata (Mediterranean fruit fly). RNAcentral's name for it is "apoptotic protease-activating factor 1, transcript variant X8". The record is from RNAcentral. Lineage: Eukaryota; Metazoa; Arthropoda; Insecta; Diptera; Tephritidae.